GACCUAGAGCUCAAGACCUGAGCCGAGAUCAAGAACUGGGCGCUUAACCGACUAAGCCACUCAGGUGCCCCUAAUUCAACUAUUCUUGCCACCACCAUUAGACUUACUAAAGGACAUGAAGCCAAAUGGGUUGAUUCUGGUCAGUCACUUCCCCAGAUAUGAUGUCCCUAUUAGAGAGAGCUUUUGUAUCUGGCUACUUCAUAGACCCCUGCCCAGACUGUGUAUUGUUGGCUCAAGAGUCUGGUGUCCUCUCUUCUUCCACUCAGAUAUGACUAUUGUUGGGGGUCACAUAGUACAGAACAGAAUCACUGUAUCAGUGAAAGUGACUUUCAUUUGAAUAGGAUUAAAUCAUAAGGGAAUUUAUUUCUUAUAAACUGGCAAGUCCAGCACUAGAAUGGCCUUCAGGUGAGGGUUGAUCCAGUGGUCCAAUGCUGUCUAUUUUUUUCCACUUCACUAUCUACACUGUUGGCUUCAUCUUCUCUUUUAAAGAUGUAUUUAUUUAUUUGAAAGAGAGAGAAAGAGAGAGAUAAUGAGCAGGGGAAGGGCAGAGGGAGAGGGAGAGAAGCAGACUCCCUGCUGAAUGCAGAGCUUAACACAGGGCUCAAUCCUGGGACUGUGGGAUGUGUAUUUGCAUGUGCCUUUGAAAUCAUGACCUGAGAUCAUGACCUGAGCCAAAAUCAACAGUUGGACGCUCAACCCACUGCACCACCCAGGCUGUGUUGGCUUCGUCUUAAGGUUGCUUUCCCUUUAGGCCCUCUUCCGGGCCCCCCUCUAUCCCUUUGGCUAAAAACACAUCCAUUUUUCCUUCAUUUCUUCUUUUAAGUGCUCUCAGAUGCCUAUGACUCAAGGCCAAUGCUUGUAAUUGCCUCUUUUUCAAGUCCCAUCACCCCAGAAACUGGGUAAUAAAAGUUUUUCUAGUCUCUAAAACAUGGAGGUAGUAUUCCCAGUGACUGAGUGUCAUUGCUUUUUUGCAAUGGAUGCUGGAAUUCUCAGGAAUCUCUGAAGUGGAGGCAUCUCAUAGGACCAAGGGAGUAGAUGUACAUUGCGUUUAAUUAUUCAUGUAGGUGUUUAUUUAAUUUAAUUUUGCCUGCUAAGGAUGGAAGCUAGUUUAUUUUAAUGCAGCAACAAAUGCAACACAAAGCACAGAUCUUAAGUGUACAGUUUGAUGAGUUUUGCCUAUGUGUACAUCGAUGUGACUAUCACCCACAUCAGAUAGGGAGCAUUUUUAGCCCCCCAAAAAGCUCACCAUGCCCCUUCCUGGUCAGAACAUCCUUCAAGGUAUUUACAUUUGAAGAGAAUGAUAACUGCUUCAAACCUAAAGCAUGGAGAACAACAAAAUGUACCCCAAUCCAUAUAUCAUCCUCAUAUUUAUCACCAAGACCCCGUGAUUAUAAAGAUUUUGCCAUACAAUAUUCACUGAUUCCCCUUCCCUUGAUGUGUGUGUGUUAAGUAUUUUAAGCAAAUCUCGAAUAUGGCAUCAUUCUAUUUUGAUAUGCAUCUCUAAAAACAUGGAGACUUUCUUACAUAACUAUAGGUACUACUAUUAUCCAUGACUAAAUGACAAGUCCUUGGAGUCAUUUAGCACACAGUACACAUUCCAAUCAGUCCAAUUGUCUUUGUAUAAUUUAUCUGUUCGAAUUGGGAUUCAAUCAAGAUCCAAAGUAGUAAUCUCCAAUUUCUCUCUUUCUCUGUGUUUCUCUCUCUUUUUCUCCUUGUCAUUGACUUGUUGAAAAUACUGGUGAGUUGAGCCUGUAGAAUGUCCUACAUUCUGGAUUUGUCUAUUUCCCAGAGCUGGUGUUUAACUUGUUCCUCCAGCUGCCAUUUGCUUUAUCAACCGGAAGUAAGCUCUAAAGCCUUAAUCCAGUCGAGGUCCAGAUUUUUGCAAGAAUAUGGUGUUGUGUAGGUCACAUUGCAUCACUCCAUGAGCAACAUCAUAUCUGAUGUUCCACUUUAAUGAUACUGAUUCUUGAAUUCAAGUAUUCAUCACCUGAUCUCCAUUUCCUUAUCAACCUUUUAUCAAAUGGUUUCCACAUUAGCUUUAAAUAUUUGCUCUACAAAUAUUUAUCAGGGCUGUUACUGAGUACAUUUUCUAUAUGAGAUAUUGGGGUUAGAAAAGGUGGGCAAAAGAAACCUAUUGCUAAUAAGUAUAAAGACUGUUCACGUAUCCUCAGCCUAUCAGUAUACCGCCCAAAAUUGGGGGUACCUAUUUUGGGAGCAAUUUCCUCACCAGAGGAAAAUAGGAAUGACAAAUGCAAUGGGAGCCCAGUGCUUCCUCAUGUCUGACGAAUCCUAUUACCUUCCCUUCCUCCCCUCUUUCUCAUAUCGUUCUUUCCCUUCAUUUUCCCAUCACUUUGCCUUCAUGAUGUGCCAAUUAUACCGAGGACUGGUGUUGGAGGUGUGGCGUGCUCAAUUAUCCUCGUUUGUAUGCCGUGGUGAUUCAUGGUGGAGCUGGCUCCAUAGCAGAUCAUACAACAGUCUAAUUUUGUGAAAGAGAAAACUGAGCCACAGAAGCCGGGUUACUUGUCCAGUUCACACAGUGACCGGUCCUAAUAAGAAAUGACUGCUUUAUUGAAAGUACCGAGUAUCACAACUUCUGACAAACAGCAGAGAUUUUCUAGGAAGAAAGUUAGUCAGAAGCACGGAGCAGAAAUCUACACCAAAGUCCACCUCAUAAGAAAUUGUUUACACUGUCUCCUCAGGGAAACUCGGGAUAAUACGCAUUUAACAAAGUUGUUUUGGGGCAGCUUCAAGUAGCUGAGAGUUGUAUGUUAGUAGGUCUCAUUUGUGGAAUUCAGACGUUAAGGGCUUUCCUUCCACCUUGAAGAAAAUACGUUACUAACUAGAGAAAAUGACAGUUGAAAUAUUCGGGGGAAAAAAAGAAAAAAGGAAAAACCACUAGAGUCUCUGGAAAGCAGUGUGUGAGACAGCUGUGUGGGAGACAGCAUGAAAAGAUCAUGUUCCUACUUCAUUUUUGUGAGUGCGGAAGACGCACCGGCCACCAGCCACCCUGGUAAAUAUUUGUGGUCUCGAAUUUCACAAACUGCAACACAGUCGGCUUAGCUGCUCCUGUUACAGAGCCUUGGCGACAGGAUCACCAAACUGCCAUGUGGGAGCCUUCUCAGAUGACAAGAUGUGGGAUUCUUAAUCAGACAAGUCUAUUAGGAAAGACUUUCGCAUGCUGCCUCUUUGGAGAAAGGCUCUGAUGGGCCAGAGUUCUGGCCACUGAAUUUUCUUCCUGCACAGAGAAGAAAGGAUGACAUGGUGCCCUUCACGUGGGGCAGGCAAGGUGUCCUUGCCAAGGGGGUCAGCGGGGCACAGGGCCCGCCUACCUCACAGUGGUGUACAUCGGCUCAGAUGGACUCCACUCUGUGGCGUCCCCGUGCUCUGUGACACAUUUCAGUUUCUGGAAAGGGAAGGGCCACCUUGAGGACAUCUGCUGGUCACCCUCCAGCAGAUUAAGACUGAAGACGGGUACUCGCCUUGUGCAGCAACUGCAUAAACAGCCACCUUUUCCAAGCUUUCCCCACGAGGCACUGAGGAUAAAGACAAGGGUCUGAGCUAGAACUCAGAAAGCAGAGGGAACGUUAUUUUCCUCCUUUGUGACAUUAUUACACAUGAAGAAACUGAGGAUUGAGCAAGUCAAGUCACUCAACUCAAGGUCACUCAGCCAAUAAGCGAUGGACUUAGACUGAACCCAGAAUUAUAUCUGAUAAUGAUUUGCUGUGAUUUUCCUGUUAGUGAAUUCCUACCUGCAGGCCCACCACCAUUCCAGAAACUACGCUGACAGCACUUUGUUGAGAGGUGGCAAAUGAAGUGAGAAGGUCAGCAGAGAAUUCAGAAGAGGAUUUUCAAACUGCGAUCCCUGUUUCGACUUGAUGAAUGGAGAACACUGAGGUAGAAGGCGUUACGUCAUUGUCUCAACAUUACACAGGACGUGUUGCUGUUGGAAUUUGCAGGCCGGCAAUUUAAUUUCACAGCCUAUACUUAACCACUUUUUUAUACUGCUUUCCUCUUCUAUAUUUUUGGUGGUGAAUAUGAGAAGAUAAUUUUGAGGGCAUUACGAACUUUCAACUGUCAUGUUAGAAGUUUGGCCACCCAGAGGAGUGACUGCAUACAUACAUAUAGAGAGAAAUUGUCCAGAGUUUAAGUCUCCAGCUAAUCAAGUCUUCCAACCUGGAUGACAGACAUGUGAAUGAAGACUUUGAGAUGAUCCCAACCCCAGCCAUUGUCUGACCACAACUCCUGAGACCUGGACACAGUGAGAACUGCCUAGCUGAGCCCAGUUGACCUCCAGAUUCAGGAGUAAAACAACUGUCAUGGAUUUGCACCACUAUUUUGAGGGGAUUUGUUGUGCAGCGAUAGAUAACUGAUACAGUUGUCCUGUAAACAGUUAGCUCCGAUCGGCCUGGAGCACAGGAGAGAGAGACUUGGCCUGGUGGUAUAGAUUAGGACAUCCUUUAGCAAGGAGAAAGCUCUUGAAGUCACUGGAACCGAUGAAGUCACUGGGGAAAUAAUGUACAUUGAGAAAGGAAAAAAGGACCUAUGAUGCACCUUUAGUAACAACAGUGAGGGGAUCAAAAACAAAGAAGCAUUUGCAAAGAGA
Non-coding RNA from Callorhinus ursinus (northern fur seal), 4603 nucleotides. Lineage: Eukaryota; Metazoa; Chordata; Mammalia; Carnivora; Otariidae. The record is from RefSeq and is a predicted model, not a curated record.